Molecule: ribosomal RNA, 467 nt
Filed under: uncultured bacterium
Lineage: Bacteria
Description: partial 16S ribosomal RNA
Rfam family: Bacterial small subunit ribosomal RNA
Source: RNAcentral
GACGAACGCUGGCGGCGUGCUUAACACAUGCAAGUCGAACGGAAAGGCCCUGCUUUUGUGGGGUGCUCGAGUGGCGAACGGGUGAGUAACACGUGAGUAACCUGCCCUUGGCUUUGGGAUAACUUCAGGAAACUGGGGCUAAUACCGGAUAGGAGCUCCUGCUGCAUGGUGGGGGUUGGAAAGUUUCGGCGGUUGGGGAUGGACUCGCGGCUUAUCAGCUUGUUGGUGGGGUAGUGGCUUACCAAGGCUUUGACGGGUAGCCGGCCUGAGAGGGUGACCGGCCACAUUGGGACUGAGAUACGGCCCAGACUCCUACGGGGGGCAGCAGUGGGGAAUAUUGCACAAUGGGCGGAGGCCUGAUGCAGCAACGCCGCGUGCGGGAUGACGGCCUUCGGGUUGUAAACCGCUUUCGCCUGUGACGAAGCGUGAGUGACGGUAAUGGGUAAAGAAGCACCGGCUAACUACGU